Molecule: non-coding RNA, 71 nt
Organism: Podarcis lilfordi (Lilford's wall lizard)
Lineage: Eukaryota; Metazoa; Chordata; Lepidosauria; Squamata; Lacertidae
Source: the annotation of a GenBank genome assembly
AGGGCUGUGGCUCAAUGGUAGAGCACUUGCCUUGCAUGCAGAAGCCCCAGGUUCUGUCCCUGACAUCCUUA